RNAcentral lists this transfer RNA (74 nucleotides) under Trebonia kvetii. It matches the Rfam family "tRNA". Rfam says of the family: Transfer RNA (tRNA) molecules are approximately 80 nucleotides in length. Their secondary structure includes four short double-helical elements and three loops (D, anti-codon, and T loops). Lineage: Bacteria; Bacillati; Actinomycetota; Actinomycetes; Streptosporangiales; Treboniaceae. The record is from Rfam by way of RNAcentral.
GCCGUCCUAGCCCAAUUGGCGGAGGCGCAGGUCCCAGGCACCUGGCGAUCGGGGUUCGAAUCCCCGGGACGGUA